RNAcentral lists this ribosomal RNA (429 nucleotides) under Pseudomonadota bacterium. RNAcentral's name for it is "Proteobacteria bacterium partial 16S ribosomal RNA". It matches the Rfam family "Bacterial small subunit ribosomal RNA", at positions 355 to 776 of the family's 1533-position model. The record is from RNAcentral. Lineage: Bacteria; Pseudomonadati; Pseudomonadota.
UGGGGAAUAUUGGACAAUGGGCGAAAGCCUGAUCCAGCCAUGCCGCGUGUGUGAAGAAGGUCUUCGGAUUGUAACGCACUUUAAGUUGGGAGGAAGGGCAGUAAGCGAAUACCUUGCUGUUUUGACGUUACCGACAGAAUAAGCACCGGCUAACUCUGUGCCAGCAGCCGCGGUAAUACAGAGGGUGCAAGCGUUAAUCGGAAUUACUGGGCGUAAAGCGCGCGUAGGUGGUUCGUUAAGUUGAAUGUGAAAGCCCCGGGCUCAACCUGGGAAAUGGAUCCAAAAAUGGCGGGCGAGAGGAGGGCAGAGGGUGGGGGAAUUUCCUGUGGAGCGGUGGAAUGCGUAGAUAUAGGAAGGAACACCAGUGGCGAAGGCGACCACCUGGGCUCAUACUGACACUGGGGUGGGAAAGCGUGGGGAGCAAACAGG